UACGGAGGGGGCUAGCGUUGUUUGGAAUUACUGGGCGUAAAGCGCACGUAGGCGGCUUUGUAAGUUAGAGGUGAAAGCCCGGAGCUCAACUCCGGAAUUGCCUUUAAGACUGCAUCGCUCGAAUCAUGGAGAGGUGAGUGGAAUUCCGAGUGUAGAGGUGAAAUUCGUAGAUAUCUGGAGGAACACCGGUGGCGAAGGCGGCCAUCUGGACGGAUACUGACGCUGAGACGCGAAAGCGUGGGGAGCAAACAGG
This 253-nucleotide ribosomal RNA is filed under the name uncultured bacterium. RNAcentral's name for it is "partial 16S ribosomal RNA". It matches the Rfam family "Bacterial small subunit ribosomal RNA", at positions 524 to 776 of the family's 1533-position model. The record is from RNAcentral.